RNAcentral lists this long non-coding RNA (423 nucleotides) under Populus tremula. Its description in RNAcentral is "long non-coding RNA (PTRE_LNC000022)". Lineage: Eukaryota; Viridiplantae; Streptophyta; Magnoliopsida; Malpighiales; Salicaceae. The record is from RNAcentral.
UACAAGUCUCCACCUCCACCAUCUCCCUCACCUCCACCUCCAUACCACUACUCUUCACCUCCUCCUCCAAAGAAGUCUCCCAUCCCCCAUACGUCUACAAGUCUCCCUCCUCCUCCACACUACUAAGCUUCUUUUUGAUCAAGAUAUGAGAUGCAUACGUAGCAGUAGCAAUAACGUACUUCUCUCUAUAUCGUUUACGAACAAAAUUCCAAAAUGACGGCAAUGAUCUUGAAUGAAACAAGCUUUUCUCUACAAUAAGGAUCUAUAGUGAAGUCCAUGGUGAAGUGAAACAGUGUUAUUUAUUGUAUCACUUUGUUGUCUUGUAAUCUAAUGUAAUGUAAUGGCAGUAAUUACAAUUCCAAGAAGGAUUAUAUACUUGCGUUUUCUUGAUCAAAUUCACAUAUUGCUUUCUAUUUAAAAUUA